CCUCCCAAAGUGCUGGGACUACAGGAGUGAACCACCGCGCCUGGCCCCCCGGGAAACUUCUUUAACUAAGUUGUUCCCAAAUGAUUUAUAAUUACCCUUUAAUACUUGGACCUGGAGCAUACAAGCAAGUUGGAUUCACAGAUCAAUGCUUAGGGAACUAUCAAGUGAUAAAGAACAAAGCAAAUUCAGAAUUUUCCAUAAUCCUUUCUUUGACUAAUAAAUGGAGUCAUAGCUAGUCAUCUAAAAUUCCUCAUAUGAGACUAUUUUUUUCUGGUUAAACAAUGAAAUGCAAGUAUCAUGGGUCAUUAACGGCCUGCUAAAUGUUCCAUCCUCUAGAAACAGGGAAAUUCAUGCUAAAGUAGAUCCCAUUUGUGAGAUAUAUCCUCCUAUGUAAUAAGAGAUGCUUUGACUUGACCACCUCAGUCAAAGGUCAGUUUCUUGCUUUCUUUAUUGUUUAUUAUAUCUCUUUCUCCCUUUCUCUCUCCCUUCUUUGUCCUGUUCAUUACAUAAUUCAGGUUAAAGGUGACUCAUGUUGAUAAAAAAAAAUAAAGAAAAAUCAGUCAAUGGCUCUUGGAAAGAUCUUAAUAGUAACAUUUAACUUGAGAACUACCUGAUGAUUAGAUAAGUGGACAUUUUAAAGUAAUACUUAAAUUUAUUACUUUCAUAUAUCUGAAUGUGGCCUUUGGGGAAAAUUCAAAUGACAAGUCCCAAGACAAACAAUUUUCUUUUCAGCCUUUGUACUUAAGCUGCUCAGGAAUGCAGGCUUAUAGCACAGAGAAACCACAUUUGGAUAAUUGUCUCUGUUUUCCUGUCCAAUUUACCAUAUUGAACUUCAUUCUUACAGGAAGGGGUUAGAAGGCAUCCAUCCUGUGGACAGGGAGCACACACCACCUCCUCUGCAUGACAGCACUGGGGAAACAAUGAGACCUCAGAGGGAAGGUGCCUGGUGGACAUGAAGUAGAGAACCUGUGGAACUGAGGCUUCCAAAAUCAGCUGGCAUUUCCAUUAACAAAAGCAGCAGUCAGCAGUCCUCGAGGAGCUGAGCAAGUUCUGCCAAUGGACAGCUCAUCAUGAAUUGCUCCAGGUGGAUCCUCCAGGAAGUAUUGCAGAAGAAGGCAUUGUUAUCAUAGGAGAUGACAGCUCCAUGGGUGUUACUGCCCCUGAAGACCUUCCAGGGGAAGAAGAUGUGGAGGUGGGAGACAGUGAUAUUGAUGAUCGUCACCCUGUGGAAGCCUAGGCUAAUGUGUGUG
Molecule: non-coding RNA, 1250 nt
Organism: Macaca mulatta (Rhesus monkey)
Lineage: Eukaryota; Metazoa; Chordata; Mammalia; Primates; Cercopithecidae
Source: RefSeq, a predicted model, not a curated record